AUAAUACGCAGAUCAAAUCAUGAUACAAUAUAAUUAUUGACGCGUGUCAUGAAUGAGCGGAUGACAAUUUUGAUAUUUAAGUUUAAUCAUUUGUUUUCAUAUUGUGAGCUCAAAUCGUAAAAUUGCCUGUGUGAUGCAGCAUCCGAUUUUCAACGCACGUGCAAUAGGGCACAGAAUAAGAAAUUAUACGUUUAAUUGGAAGGUUUGCAUUAAUUGUUGCCUGCAGUUAAGGCGCCACCAGCUUAUGCUGAUUAGAGAGAUCGUGGUUAACUAUAAAACUAUGUAGAUCGUGAUUUGUGAUGAUUUCAUAUUGUAU
This 316-nucleotide unclassified non-coding RNA is filed under the name Hevea brasiliensis (rubber tree). The record is from RNAcentral. Lineage: Eukaryota; Viridiplantae; Streptophyta; Magnoliopsida; Malpighiales; Euphorbiaceae.